AGAGUUUGAUCAUGGCUCAGAAUGAACGCUGGCGGCGCGCCUAAUACAUGCAAGUCGAGCGAGAAGACGUAGCAAUACGUUUGUAAAGCGGCGAACGGGUGAGGAAUACAUGGGUAACCUACCCUCGAGUGGGGAAUAACUAGCCGAAAGGUUAGCUAAUACCGCGUACGCUCCUUGGACUUCGGUUCAGGGAGGAAAGCGAUACCGUGGGUAUCGCGCUCUUGGUUGGGCUCAUGUCCUAUCAGCUUGUUGGUGAGGUAACGGCUCACCAAGGCUUCGACGGGUAGCUGGUCUGAGAGGACGAUCAGCCACACUGGCACUGCGACACGGGCCAGACUCCUACGGGAGGCAGCAGUAAGGAAUAUUGCGCAAUGGGCGAAAGCCUGACGCAGCGACGCCGCGUGGGGGAUGAAGGUCUUCGGAUUGUAAACCCCUUUCGGGAGGGAAGAUGGAACGAGCAAUCGUUCGGACGGUACCUCCAGA
RNAcentral lists this ribosomal RNA (483 nucleotides) under uncultured Nitrospira sp. Its description in RNAcentral is "bacterial SSU rRNA". It matches the Rfam family "Bacterial small subunit ribosomal RNA", at positions 8 to 485 of the family's 1533-position model. Lineage: Bacteria; Pseudomonadati; Nitrospirota; Nitrospiria; Nitrospirales; Nitrospiraceae. The record is from RNAcentral.